Molecule: ribosomal RNA, 460 nt
Filed under: uncultured bacterium
Lineage: Bacteria
Description: partial 16S ribosomal RNA
Rfam family: Bacterial small subunit ribosomal RNA
Source: RNAcentral
CCUACGGGUGUCUGCAGUGAGGAAUAUUUGUCAAUGGACGAGAGUCUGAACCAGCCAAGUCGCGUGAAGGAUGACUGCCCUAUGGGUUGUAAACUUCUUUUAUAUGGGAAUAAAAUGUUCCACGUGUGGGAUUUUGUAUGUACCAUAUGAAUAAGGAUCGGCUAACUCCGUGCCAGCAGCCGCGGUAAUACGGAGGAUCCGAGCGUUUUCCGGAUUUAUUGGGUUUAAAGGGAGCGUAGGUGGAUUGUUAAGUCAGUUGUGAAAGUUUCGGGGUCAACCGUAAGAUUGCAGUUGAAACUGGCAGUCUUGAGUACAGGAGAGGUAGGCGGAAUUCGUGGUGUAGCGGUGAAAUGCUUAGAUAUCACGAAGAACCCCGAUUGCGAAGGCAGCUUACUAAACUGUGACUGACACUGAGGCACGAAAGUGUGGGGAGCAAACAGGAUUAGAUACCCGAGUAGUC